UACGUAGGGUGCAGGCGUUAAUCGGAAUUACUGGGCGUAAAGCGUGCGCAGGCGGUUUGCUAAGACAGGUGUGAAAUCCCCGGGCUUAACCUGGGAACUGCGCUUGUUACUGGCAGGCUUGAGUGUGGCAGAGGGGGGUGGAAUUCCACGUGUAGCAGUGAAAUGCGUAGAGAUGUGGAGGAACACCGAUGGCGAAGGCAGCCCCCUGGGUCAACACUGACGCUCAUGCACGAAAGCGUGGGGAGCAAACAGG
Molecule: ribosomal RNA, 253 nt
Filed under: uncultured bacterium
Lineage: Bacteria
Description: partial 16S ribosomal RNA
Rfam family: Bacterial small subunit ribosomal RNA
Source: RNAcentral